This 1319-nucleotide ribosomal RNA is filed under the name uncultured rumen bacterium. RNAcentral describes it as "bacterial SSU rRNA". It matches the Rfam family "Bacterial small subunit ribosomal RNA", at positions 43 to 1377 of the family's 1533-position model. The record is from RNAcentral.
CAGGCCUAACACAUGCAAGUCGCGGGGCAGCGUGGGGAUGGCUUGCCAUCUCUGACGGCGACCGGCGCACGGGUGAGUAACGCGUAUCCAACCUGCCCCUUACCACGGGAUAGCCCUCCGAAAGGGGGAUUAAUACCGUAUGUGGCCACGAGACGGCAUCCGACCGUGGCUAAAGGCUCAGCGGUAAGGGAUGGGGAUGCGUCUGAUUAGGUAGUCGGCGGGGUAACGGCCCACCGAGCCGUCGAUCAGUAGGGGUUCUGAGAGGAAGGUCCCCCACAUUGGAACUGAGACACGGUCCAAACUCCUACGGGAGGCAGCAGUGAGGAAUAUUGGUCAAUGGGCGCGAGCCUGAACCAGCCAAGUAGCGUGAGGGAUGACGGCCCUACGGGUUGUAAACCUCUUUUAUGCGGGGAUAAAGUUAGCCACGUGUGGUUUUUUGCAGGUACCGCAUGAAUAAGGACCGGCUAAUUCCGUGCCAGCAGCCGCGGUAAUACGGAAGGUCCGGGCGUUAUCCGGAUUUAUUGGGUUUAAAGGGAGCGUAGGCCGCAUGUUAAGCGUGCUGUGAAAUGUCGGGGCUCAACCUGGGCAGCGCAGCGCGAACUGGCUUGCUUGAGUGCGCGGAAGGGAGGCGGAAUUCGUGGUGUAGCGGUGAAAUGCUUAGAUAUCACGAAGAACUCCGAUUGCGAAGGCAGCUUCCCGCAGCGCUACUGACGCUGAAGCUCGAAGGUGCGGGUAUCGAACAGGAUUAGAUACCCUGGUAGUCCGCACGGUAAACGAUGGAUGCCCGCUGUGCGCCUUUUUGGUGCGUGGCCAAGCGAAAGCGUUAAGCAUCCCACCUGGGGAGUACGCCGGCAACGGUGAAACUCAAAGGAAUUGACGGGGGCCCGCACAAGCGGAGGAACAUGUGGUUUAAUUCGAUGAUACGCGAGGAACCUUACCCGGGCUUGAACUGUCGCGGAACGACCGGGACACCAGUCGAGGUGCUGCAUGGUUGUCGUCAGCUCGUGCCGUGAGGUGUCGGCUCAAGUGCCAUAACGAGCGCAACCCUUGCCGUCAGUUACCAUCAAGUAAUGUUGGGGACUCUGGCGGGACUGCCACCGCAAGGUGUGAGGAAGGGGGGGAUGACGUCAAAUCAGCACGGCCCUUACGUCCGGGGCGACACACGUGUUACAAUGGCGGCCACAGAGGGGCACUACCUGGCGACAGGAUGGAAUCUCGAAAAGCCGUCUCAGUCCGGAUCGGAGUCUGCAACCCGACUCCGUGAAGCUGGAUUCGCUAGUAAUCGCGCAUCAGCCAUGGCGCGGUGAAUACGUUCCCSG